GGUUAAGCGACUAAGCGUACACGGUGGAUGCCCUGGCAGUCAGAGGCGAUGAAGGACGUGCUAAUCUGCGAAAAGCGACGGCGAGGUGAUAUGAACCCUUGACCCGUCGAUGUCCGAAUGGGGAAACCCAGUGUGUUUCGACACACUAUCGUUAACUGAAUACAUAGGUUAACGAGGCGAACCGGGGGAACUGAAACAUCUAAGUACCCCGAGGAAAAGAAAUCAACCGAGAUUCCCCCAGUAGCGGCGAGCGAACGGGGAGCAGCCCGGAGUCUGAAUCAGCUUGUGUGUUAGUGGAAGCGUCUGGAAAGUCGCACGGUACAGGGUGACAGUCCCGUACACGAAAAUGCACAGGUUGUGAACUCGAAGAGUAGGGCGGGACACGUGGUAUCCUGUCUGAAUAUGGGGGGACCAUCCUCCAAGGCUAAAUACUCCUGACUGACCGAUAGUGAACCAGUACCGUGAGGGAAAGGCGAAAAGAACCCCGGCGAGGGGAGUGAAAAAGAACCUGAAACCGUGUACGUACAAGCAGUGGGAGCACCUUCGGGUGUGACUGCGUACCUUUUGUAUAAUGGGUCAGCGACUUAUAUUCUGUAGCAAGGUUAACCGUAUAGGGGAGCCGCAGGGAAACCGAGUCUUAACUGGGCGUUAAGUUGCAGGGUAUAGACCCGAAACCCGGUGAUCUAGCCAUGGGCAGGUUGAAGGUUGGGUAACACUAACUGGAGGACCGAACCGACUAAUGUUGAAAAAUUAGCGGAUGACCUGUGGCUGGGGGUGAAAGGCCAAUCAAACCGGGAGAUAGCUGGUUCUCCCCGAAAGCUAUUUAGGUAGCGCCUCGUGAACUCAUCUUCGGGGGUAGAGCACUGUUUCGGCUAGGGGGCCAUCCCGGCUUACCAACCCGAUGCAAACUACGAAUACCGAAGAAUGUUAUCACGGGAGACACACGGCGGGUGCUAACGUCCGUCGUGAAGAGGGAAACAACCCAGACCGCCAGCUAAGGUCCCAAAGUCAUGGUUAAGUGGGAAACGAUGUGGGAAGGCACAGACAGCCAGGAUGUUGGCUUAGAAGCAGCCAUCAUUUAAAGAAAGCGUAAUAGCUCACUGGUCGAGUCGGCCUGCGCGGAAGAUGUAACGGGGCUAAACCAUGCACCGAAGCUGCGGCAGCGACGCUUAUGCGUUGUUGGGUAGGGGAGCGUUCUGUAAGCCGUUGAAGGUGUGCUGUGAGGCAUGCUGGAGGUAUCAGAAGUGCGAAUGCUGACAUAAGUAACGAUAAAGCGGGUGAAAAGCCCGCUCGCCGGAAGACCAAGGGUUCCUGUCCAACGUUAAUCGGGGCAGGGUGAGUCGACCCCUAAGGCGAGGCCGAAAGGCGUAGUCGAUGGGAAACAGGUUAAUAUUCCUGUACUUGGUGUUACUGCGAAGGGGGGACGGAGAAGGCUAUGUCAGCCGGGCGACGGUUGUCCCGGUUUAAGCGUGUAGGUGUGUGUUCCAGGCAAAUCCGGUUCACUUUAACACUGAGGCGUGAUGACGAGGCACUACGGUGCUGAAGUGAUAAAUGCCCUGCUUCCAGGAAAAGCCUCUAAGCAUCAGGUAACACGAAAUCGUACCCCAAACCGACACAGGUGGUCAGGUAGAGAAUACCAAGGCGCUUGAGAGAACUCGGGUGAAGGAACUAGGCAAAAUGGUGCCGUAACUUCGGGAGAAGGCACGCUGAUAUGUAGGUGAAGUCCCUGCGGACGGAGCUGAAAUCAGUCGAAGAUACCAGCUGGCUGCAACUGUUUAUUAAAAACACAGCACUGUGCAAACACGAAAGUGGACGUAUACGGUGUGACGCCUGCCCGGUGCCGGAAGGUUAAUUGAUGGGGUUAGCGGCAACGCGAAGCUCUUGAUCGAAGCCCCGGUAAACGGCGGCCGUAACUAUAACGGUCCUAAGGUAGCGAAAUUCCUUGUCGGGUAAGUUCCGACCUGCACGAAUGGCGUAAUGAUGGCCAGGCUGUCUCCACCCGAGACUCAGUGAAAUUGAACUCGCUGUGAAGAUGCAGUGUACCCGCGGCAAGACGGAAAGACCCCGUGAACCUUUACUAUAGCUUGACACUGAACACUGGUCCUUGAUGUGUAGGAUAGGUGGGAGGCUUUGAAGCGUGGACGCCAGUCUGCGUGGAGCCAUCCUUGAAAUACCACCCUUUAAUGGCUGGUGUUCUAACGUGGACCCGUGAUCCGGGUUGCGGACAGUGUCUGGUGGGUAGUUUGACUGGGGCGGUCUCCUCCCAAAGAGUAACGGAGGAGCACGAAGGUUAGCUAAUCCUGGUCGGACAUCAGGAGGUUAGUGCAAUGGCAUAAGCUAGCUUGACUGCGAGAGUGACGGCUCGAGCAGGUGCGAAAGCAGGUCAUAGUGAUCCGGUGGUUCUGAAUGGAAGGGCCAUCGCUCAACGGAUAAAAGGUACUCCGGGGAUAACAGGCUGAUACCGCCCAAGAGUUCAUAUCGACGGCGGUGUUUGGCACCUCGAUGUCGGCUCAUCACAUCCUGGGGCUGAAGUAGGUCCCAAGGGUAUGGCUGUUCGCCAUUUAAAGUGGUACGCGAGCUGGGUUUAGAACGUCGUGAGACAGUUCGGUCCCUAUCUGCCGUGGGCGCUGGAGAAUUGAGGGGGGCUGCUCCUAGUACGAGAGGACCGGAGUGGACGCAUCACUGGUGUUCGGGUUGUCAUGCCAAUGGCACUGCCCGGUAGCUAAAUGCGGAAGAGAUAAGUGCUGAAAGCAUCUAAGCACGAAACUUGCCCCGAGAUGAGUUCUCCCUGAGACUUUAAGUCUCCUGAAGGAACGUUGAAGACGACGACGUUGAUAGGCCGGGUGUGUAAGCGCAGCGAUGCGUUGAGCUAACCGGUACUAAUGAACCGUGAGGCUUAACCUU
Molecule: ribosomal RNA, 2904 nt
Filed under: Enterobacter cloacae complex sp. P21C
Lineage: Bacteria; Pseudomonadati; Pseudomonadota; Gammaproteobacteria; Enterobacterales; Enterobacteriaceae
Description: 23S ribosomal RNA
Rfam family: Bacterial large subunit ribosomal RNA
Source: RNAcentral